CACGGUAUGACCCACACAGCUGAGGAAGAGCAGGGCCUGGGGAUUCCUUCAGAGGGGCGAAGAGGUGUCGGAUGACAGGCACGCUCCAGGACCUUCCCAGCAGCUUCUGGCGGGCACCACGGCCCAUGUUGGACACGUCUGUGUAGUGCACAGGAAAGCCAAAGAUCCUGGGGGUACCGGAGUGAAAAGACAGCAAGUCAGAAGUGCCUCCAGGAUGUUGACAGCCUCAACCAGCCAGGUCCCACUCUUUCUGCCCUCGCCAUCCCUCAGUCCCAUCAGUAAGGUCCCCAAGGACCUAAAUUCAGAGCCCUUAAUUCAGAACACUUGCUUACAAAUUGCUCACAAAUGAAAGUCCCCCGUUUUGUGCAGGCCUAGCACCAUACUCUUGGCAUAGAGUUGGUGCUCAGAGGACCUUCCUAGAAUAAAUGCAUGCAUACUAAAUCAGCCAGCCAGCAAUGUAUCCAUUUUCAAAACACUAUGAUGGGAGAAGUUAAGCAAUUUCCUUAAUAAGGAACAAGGUCACUCAAAAACAGCCUAGAUUUUCAGUCAUCACAGGCUCAGGCAACCAGAGUUUUCCUUCCCUCUUCAAACCCAGCUGCCGGAUGAAGGACCAUGCUAGAUGACUCCAGGCAGAUGGCAUCAAAUAUACCAAAAGCUUCCUCUAUAGGAUUCUACCAGGCCUGGAAAGAGGCUACAGAGGCUGAGCCUCAGUGUUACUCAGGUAUACAAUCCAAUACUAAAAGUCAUCCCAACAGGCCAAUGGCUGCGUGGGUUAUUCAGAAACAUGCCAAAGAUGUGAUACCUCAGGCCUGUGUCUUGCUUGGUCUUAGCGUCUACACAAUGUCAGCCAUCUGCACCAACCAUUUUAGGUUUAGGUCCAUACAGAAUAAUCUACAGCAUAAAUACUAAUCAGAAGUUACUUUUAUACUCAGAAAACUGUUGGUAAGUCAAAGAAGAAAUUAAAUGAGUUAUAGAAGUGAAAUAUCUGGAAUGAAAAUACUCUAUAUCAAAGCCUUCAGAAUACAGAAUACAUGUAAAGAGGAAUGUUCAAAGCCAUAAUCACUAUAGCAAAUAAUGAUUUUUAAAAAAUAGUAUAAGCAAAAUGAACAAACAAUAGAGGAGUGAAAGAAAACAGAACAGAACAGAACUGAAAUCCAAGAGAUGGUUAUUUGCAUCAAAACAGACAAACUUAGCCCAAAGAAAGGGAAGGAGAGGAUAAACUGUGGCUAAGAAGGAAUCAUUUAUAGAAUGAGCAAACUGAAGUCUUCAAGAAUGGCAUGUCUGUGGGGUUUUCUUUCACUGGCUUCUCACACAUCGUAGUGUCCCAGCAUGUUGGGACAGGCAGAUGUCACGGCAGUGCAGCCAACAGACAGAUGGUGUGGCCUAAUGACCUCAUGUCUCAGAUUCCUCACCACCACCACACCCCCUCCGCCAUUUUUGUCAGGAAAUAAGGGCGAACUAUGAAAAGGUAUUAUUACUCCUCGCCCCAGUAACACCAAAGGGCAGUGAGGCCAUCAAGAAUGAAGGUAAGCACCUGCCCAUGUCUGCCCAUUUGUGUUUUGAUCUACACAGUUUCCCUCUCCAAGUGCAGCCUUGCUCACCUUUCGAGCUCAGUGCACCACAAAACAUCUUCUUUGCCAUUCAUGACAACAGGGAAAAGUUGGUUUUUCCCCUGUUUGAUCGAGUUCGACUUGGUGGUUAUUGUCUGUACUUUCUUUAACUGGAGAACAAAAUGACAUCAUGGAGUGAGCACAGAAUGAAGGGACCUGGGGAGUCAAGGCUCAAAAGUACCUGGGAAAGAUGGAGGGGAGAGCGCAGGUGCGGCAGAAGAGUGGCAGGGCUGGGAGAGAAAAGUACCUGGGAAAGAUGGAAGGGAGAGGGCAGGCGCGGGAGAGGAAUGGCAGGGCAGGGAGCGAAAAGCAGAGUUGGAGAGACAAGAACAUUUUGUGCUUCCCACAAAUGCCAAGACGUUAACAGGAAGGACCAGCCUCAGAGAAAAUGAGAUAAACAAAAAAGUGACCAUGAACGAGAUCACGUGGGGGGCCAAGAAGACACCAGAGUUCCUGAUCAAGCAAGAUUAAGUAAAAAAGUAAAAACCACCCAGAUACAGAGAAUGCUCAAUUGGAGUUUAGAAAAUGGAUCUUAGCUUGAUGCAAACAUUGAGAUUUAGGUUUAUGGAGGUCUUCAUAUUCUAUGACUUGACAGCAAAUUAAUUUUUUGGCAAAAGGAUUAAUGAUUCCUUUCUCCCUGAGAGGGCCAGCUGAAACUCUUUGUCUUUAUGUAUCCAGUACUAAAAUUAAAAAGACUAGUUGCCUUUUCUCGUCGUGAUUACUUAUCACGAAUGUCUCCUAGUCUCUGUAUUUGAGGAUGGGACAGAACAAUCAUGUGGGAGAGGGAAGCCCAACACCAGGAAGUCACGUGGGGGGAGGAGUAGGAACCAAUCAAACACCAAGGUCAUCUCCCAAGUCCCCACUUGGAGGUCACCAAGUGCAUUUUUCCAGAGGGCCACAGCUCGUCUUACCUUGGCUAUCCUAUUGUAUUCCAAGCAGUCCUGCAGCUCGAGUUUAUCAUUCUUUGAUGCUAUCACGGGCCUGGGAACAGCCAAAACCCAUUACUUCUUACUAGCUAUAGAGGGUCCUCUGCUAGGCACAAGGUGGGAGUGAGGGUCUAUGUUGCAGAGAUGUGCCCUGGCAGUGAACUUGGCUACAAAUAAAUGAUGAAAAUGAUCCUGGCAUGAGCACAAGCCUGUGUGCCAAAGCCAAGGAUGGGCUAGAGGGGACAGCCCAGCAUCCAGGAGGUAAUGCUCCCCUGCCUGGACUUCAAAGUCAGGUUCCCAUUGAGCAGGAACACUGCAUGGGGUAGGGCAGGAGAAACCUCAGGUCCCAGCUCCACACUGCUCACUGACUGAGCUUGAGCGAGUCACACUACCCCUUUGGGCUUCCUGUCUAUUUUAAAGUGAGGAGCUUGGAAUAGAUUUUUGUGGGUCUACCUGAUACAAUUAUCAUAUCACACCCACGGUUUGGUGGCUCACUGCUGGGGAUACAGCCUCAGGAGGCUUUAAAAGUGAAUGGCAACCGCCUGCAGUGGUUCCUACCCUUAAUCCCAGCAAUUUGGGAGUUCAAAGCAGGAGGAUCGCUUAAGCCUAGGAGUUGGAGGCUACAGUGAGUUAUGAUUACAACACUGCACUCCAGCCUGGGAGACAGACCCUGUCUCUUAAGGUUCCAAAAAAAAAAAAAAAAAAAAAGACUAAGCACCCUUUUAACUUUCACCCUUGAAAAUUAUUUUGCAAAUGCAGAGAGAGGCAAACAGAUGACUAAGAAGGGCAAGGGCUAGAACUGAAAGUAGUUGAGCAGCUCCAGAACAGAAACUGGUGCAAGAGGACUGGACGCAGGGACGGCCAUAGUAACCUGUGUUAGGAACGUCAAGGCCAAACAACUCAGACAUGAGAACGGGAACCGUGCCUACAAGAGGGGCUGAGGAAAUCACAACACAUAUUUCCCCUAGACUGAUAGAUUUCCUUGACCUCACCUGCCAGGCUUCAAAUGCUACCUCUAUCCCCAUUCCUACCUCCGACAUGGACCCAGGGGAGCUGAGGGCCCAGAAGAAAAGGACACUGCACAGCCCCGCCUUGUGCUGACUAUAAGAUUAAGCUCUAAACAAGCCAGAUGACUUGGGUCUGUCCCCUAAAUGAUGCCUGACACACCCAUCCUAUAAGCCUGCAGAGCUUAGUCACAGCAUCAGAUCUGCAUCAGGUCUCACUGCUCUUUCCACCUCAUAGCCUACACAUCCAAUGCAUCAGCAAAUGUCCUACCCUCCACAUAUGUUGAAUCUGAUCCGUCCUUGCUAAGUCACAGGAUUGCUGUGCUGCAAACCCCAGGGGCCACCACUCACACUGUGUUCUCUAUGGAUGGCACCUCCUGGGGCAUAACAUCAUAAUCAGUCAUCUCUCCUUCUUUGAGCAGUCUAGUCCCUUCACUUGUCUCCCCAUUCCCGCCUCCAUCCUGUUAUUGUCUAUAAUCCACCCAGAAACUACCAUGAACCAAAGCACAAUUCAUCUCAUCUGUAACUUCCCAUGCCAAAGUGAUUUCAGCGGUACCACAUUAAGGCCCAAGUUACUUGGUCCUUCUCUCCCAGCCACCCCACCUAGGGUGCUCUGAGCUGGUCUGGGGAUGUUUCCCAUCAUCCCAGACCCUCUUCCCACCUGGAGUACUCUAAUAACUGCAUGGGUCCAUCCCUUCACUUAGGACCUUCGCUAGAAUGAGAAGCCUUCCCCAUCAACCCUUCCAAUGUCCAUCCGCCAGCAAUAAACCCCAAAUCAUUGUCUUCUCUCCCUCCCCCUUCGGCAUGUCACUAUCGACAUGAUGUGUUUAACCAUGAAAAUGGCAACAGCGUAACAGUGCCUGGCCUACUGGGAGUUCAAAUGUUGAAAGCAUUAACCCAUUUAAUUCCAGACACAGACAUGGCACCCUAAGACUGGCUGCUUAGCCAAGUACACGGGCAAGGUGACCAACAAAAAUCCUCCAAGCUACCCCAGGACCCUCACCUCUGUCCACACUUCACUAAGUGGCAGAAGGUUAUUAUGUUUCCAUGCCUCCUUCUACAGGAGAAUGUUUUAAGCUCAACUCAUUUGCAAGUCUGGGAUGUCACAUUACCAUAACAUUUUACAUCUUAAUUAGCAAGUUCUUCUCCUUGAAACCACAUAUAGAAGAAAUAAUUAAUCCUCAGCAAAGCUGCUUUGUGGCUUUCAGAGUGUCUGAAGAAGACUGUUUUUAGUAUACGAUAACAAAAUAUGAAAUGCUCCUGGUGAUGAGAAUCUGAGGGACAUAGUCUUUGGGCUAUUGUUUGUCAUAGCAGCUCUGCCACCUGGUUGGUCACCAUGAGCCUGGCCAAGAUCGCUUCAUCUCCAGGGCAGGAGGAAAGGCACCGGUAACAACAAUCUACUUCCAUUUCCAGACGGCUGUCACUACAUCAACGGGGAGGAGAGGUGAAGGGCAGGAGCAUCAACAAGCUCAAGUCUUGAGAGAUCCCUGGCAGGAAGGAGGUACACAGUCUGGCCACAGCUCAUGAGACUUGUAUUUUUCUUUAUUUUUUUGUAGAGACGGGGUCUCACUUUGUUGCCCAGGCUAGUCUAGAACUCCUGGGCUCAAGCGAUCCUCCAGCCUCGGCCUCCCAAAGUGCUGGGAUUACAGGCGUGAGCCACCACACCCAGCCACGUGGGACUUUUAGGAUCAGGUCCAUCAGCAGCUUACAACAGGUAAGAGUGGGACUCCUACAGAGAUUCCCAGGUACUUGCUGAACAUCUUAACAGAGAUCAACCCG
RNAcentral lists this long non-coding RNA (5319 nucleotides) under Homo sapiens (human). Its description in RNAcentral is "HSALNT0266416". The record is from RNAcentral. Lineage: Eukaryota; Metazoa; Chordata; Mammalia; Primates; Hominidae.